Molecule: long non-coding RNA, 172 nt
Organism: Herpailurus yagouaroundi (jaguarundi)
Lineage: Eukaryota; Metazoa; Chordata; Mammalia; Carnivora; Felidae
Exons: 3
Source: RefSeq, a predicted model, not a curated record
CAUAAGGGAAGGGAAGCAAAAAUAAUAUAAAAACAAGGAGGGGGACAAUAUAAGAGACUCUCAAAUAUAGAGAACAAAUGGUUGCUGGAGGGGUAGUGGGAGGAGGGAUAGGCUAAACGGGAAAGGGGCAUUAAGGAAGACACUUGUUCGGAUGAGCACACGUCUGUACUCC